Non-coding RNA from Desmophyllum pertusum, 76 nucleotides. The record is from the annotation of a GenBank genome assembly. Lineage: Eukaryota; Metazoa; Cnidaria; Anthozoa; Scleractinia; Caryophylliidae.
ACUCCUGUAGCUCAGUGGUAGAGUGUCUGCCGGGCCGGUGUGUGGAAGGUCAUAGGUUCAACUCCUGUUUGGAGAA